RNAcentral lists this transfer RNA (73 nucleotides) under Candidatus Thorarchaeota archaeon. RNAcentral describes it as "tRNA-Pro". It matches the Rfam family "tRNA". From Rfam's summary of the family: Transfer RNA (tRNA) molecules are approximately 80 nucleotides in length. Lineage: Archaea; Promethearchaeati; Candidatus Thorarchaeota. The record is from RNAcentral.
GGGCCGGUAGUUUAGCCUGGUAGAAUGUUAGUUGGUGAGGAGGUCUCGAGUUCAAAUCUCGACCGGUCCACCA